This is a long non-coding RNA of Pseudophryne corroboree (corroboree frog), 4278 nucleotides long. RefSeq lists it as uncharacterized. The record is from RefSeq and is a predicted model, not a curated record. The transcript is spliced from 4 exons. NCBI's taxonomy places the organism in Eukaryota, Metazoa, Chordata, Amphibia, Anura, Myobatrachidae.
GGGUGGAGAGGUGCUGUGAGUGUAGCUGAGGGAGAGACUGCAUAUCCCUUGGUGAGAGGACAUAGUUUUUUGCUGCUCCGGCCGUCGCCCGCAUUAGAGCUGAGCGGUAUACAUUGCGGCGGCCGGAGGGGGCUUAGUGUGUGUAGCCAGAACAGGGCUUCCUUACUGUAAAGGUGGUGACAGCAGCAUUGAGACUCAGAACUGUUCAUAGAACCCGGCAUUAGCGCUAGUCACCUCACCCAGCAGUAUUGGAAGGGCGCACCUAUGACAGGGAGACAGAGAGGGUUCCUCCUAUUACCGGCACAGACUCUGACAGCCACAACAAAGAAGCCAGGACCAGCAGCAGAGGCUCCAUUCUGUGUGGCUGUAAGUGUAAGGGAGGAGUCGGGGGAGCAUCCUGCAGCAGCAUCACUAGAUCGUAGAAGUGUGUGUCUGGUCCGUCUGGAAGUUGAUCUGAAGAUCCAGGAAGAAAGAGACAGCCUUGGACAGAUCACCUGCUGGAUAUUUACGUGAAAGAAAACCAGAGGCACUGUGGAAUGAAAAUCCCCCUGGUAAUUGAGUUAAUUGUCCCUAUAGAAAUGUAAGCCCUUCUAUAUGCCGGUGAGAUGUGGAGCCUGAUUCUGAGUUGCAUGCUGUGGCGCCCAUGUGUGCAUCAUCUGUCAUUGUACAGCCGCACGUCUGCAGGAGCAGGGGUACUGAAGCUGGGCACACACCUGUACGAUGUUGACUACGCAUUCCCGCGGAUCGUUAGCCCCAUCUUCUGGCCGGCCCUACUGCAGAAGAUAUCACCAGCGAACCAGUGCUGUUUAAAUAAUUCUUUGCGGUUGUGCAACACCAACCACAUAAGAAUCAGGUCCAAAAUGAUGUGAAUGCGUUGCAUUUCCUCUGAAGAACUGUAGGCCAAGAUCCUCUGUGAUCUUGUUGUGUCACAUGAAGAACGCAUCAUGAUGCAUCUUGAUCCAGUUGUAACACAGACUAGUCACCUGAAUAAUUAAAUAUUGCACCAUUGAUGUUUAAGUUGUAGCUGCUAAAAAAAGUACCAGCAUUAUAUUCUCCACGUUGCAUUGAAACAAUUACACGUUUGUUUGAUAUUUGAAGUGUAGCUCUUCUUUUUUCUGUGUCACAUCACGAGCUGAGAUCGGCCUGGCUUUCGUAUAGAUUGGCUCAUACUUUGGGUCUAAUGCUUUCAUGUUUUUCUGAUAUAAUAUAUACAUGUAGAAAAUAAGUGGCUGUGCUCAUCUGCCAACUCUUAAUGCCAAGCACAGGGUGCAUAUGAUUUUAAUGUAAAAAAAUUUUUGUUCCUUUUUAUUGGGUAUUAGUGUAGAUUAAUAUUUUUUUAAAUUUUUGUUAGAGUAGAAUAGUAUUUACUUCUCAAGAUGGUCAGAUUCUUUUAAAGGGGUUUUAAUAGUAAUGUAGGGGUAUUAUAUUGUUUAUAUAUACGGCUUACUACUUGCCUUUUUAACAUUAUGCAUGUAGGUAUAUUUUAGUUUUCUAAUUCUAGUUUUCAUAUCUCACUACAGCAUAACUACAGAAUUCCUAUUUUUUUUUUACUAUUUUGAAAUGUUGCAUUAUGUUUUACAUAACGGCAUGUGCGCAAAACACCUUCUUUUUAUGUCAUUUUCAGCAGCUGUUGUGUGUGGGCAAGAACACUUGUUUUUAGAUUUUACAGGUAGCUUUAACUUAGUGUUGGUGCACUUGUUGGUGGCUCCAUGCUUGGUAUUUGCUCUGUGCCUCUACUGCUGUAAAAUUAGCUUUCAUGCUAAUAGUUAGAAUGAUGUGCUGCCAUUUGCUUCAUGCUCUGACAGUGUUUCUUACUGUAUCUUGUCCCCACUUUCACACUGUAACAUCUGGCAGGGAGGGGUUUGAGGGACACCACAAAACAUUAUUGAAAGAGUUUUAUUGAUUUUGUUUUAUUUUGUUCUGCAAUCAAGCAUUUGGAAAACAAUCUCUAGAAAUCCUGUGUUUGCCUCUGAAAGUAGCCUGACAGUUUGUAGAACUCCUGACCAGGGCUGCCAAGAGUUCUUUUGGGCUCUGUCACUAGUGGGGUAUGUCCAAGCAUAGGGUGCAGGGCCAUGCACAUGAUAAAUUCUGAGACACCAUUUACAUGCUGAAGGAAUGUGCUGCCACAUCAUCUGGUAGACGUAACAGCCCCUCCUUGGCAGCACAUCUUGGUGAUCCUGUGCCUGCUCAGGGUUGCAUUGGCCCACAGUGAAAAUCCCCAGUAGUACCUGGUUUGUUUGUAUGAAACUACACCAAGAUUAGGAUCCUGCCAACCAAAGUUUAUGGUCCUGACACACCCCUGUUUAUAUAGGACCCCUGUUCUUUGCAUGUCCUCUCUAAUUGUUGGCCAAGUCCCUCUGUGGUGGCUGGCCACACACCGUCUGGUGAGUGGCCACACCCCUUAAGCUUGGCCCCUACCACUUUAUUGCCUAGUGGGCCCUUCAUGAAAUUGUUAUACCUUACUUAAUGGGUUUUUAUUUCUGUAUUUUUUUUUUUUUACUUAUUAUUUGCUUUAACUUCAACAAGCAUUGUGUGUAUUUUACCAAAACCCAGAGUCAAGUGUGCAAAAGUUGUGACCAUUGCUGAACUAAGGUUUACAUAUUAAUGACUGUGAUAUACGCAUUCCUGUAUAUGUACCAUGAAAGGUAUGUUUUGUAUUAAAGAAAAAGUAAUAGAAACUAAAGAUUUAGCAGAGCACAGUCCUCCUACAAAGCAGAUUGUGAGUGUGUGCAGCAUAUAAAUAAUUACACUCUAUAGGCUGUACAAAGGCAUUGUGAUUGAUUUAUAUUUUGUGAGACUGCUUCAGUUGUUUUUUCUGUUUUAUGGAGAUUGUUAACUGAAGACCAAAGACGUUCUAAUGAAUUGCAGCAUGUUACAAAGAUGCAGUUCCAAAUUUCCCUAGUCAGGGACCAAGUGUUUUAUAGAUUCCCUAAAUAAAAAUAUUACGGCCACAUACCCACACUUAGAUAGAUAGAUAGAUAGAUAGAUAGAUAGAUAGAUAGAUAGAUAGAUAGAUAGAUAGAUAGAUAGAUAUUAAUACAAAUAUAUUAAGUUUACUUAUAUAUAACACACAAAUAUUCCAAAUCUUGCGCUUUAAACUUGGGAGCAAAACAGACAUAGUAAGAGGGCCCUGCUCGCAAGCUUACUGUAAUAGGGAAAAAGGCUUUAAUACACAAAGAUAUGUGCUACAAAUUGCAUAUUGGUCCAGUCAAGUUGCAGAGGUUCUUGGUGGACUCUAUGAUCCAGUCACACAGCAAUGCUGGCCUAGGGUAAGUUAUGAUUUAUAAAAAAACAUGUAUUCCCAUGGAUGGGUGGGUAGCGGUCUCAGCUCAUUGUUUUGCCCAGGGCCUUCAAUGCUGUUAACAUGGCUCUGCCUACAGUUAUCACUCGCACACCCCUAGUUAUGGCCCUGAAUGUACAUCAGAUAUACUUACACCCAACUAAGUCAUAAGCACAAUAGAAGAUUUUACUAAUUUAUUUUUAUAGUUAAAAACUAAUUUGAUAUUGGGUUUGAUUUAAAUAAAAAAAAUCUAUAAUAGUUAAUGGUGGGAAUUCAAAUGUUAUCGCCCCUGAUCCAAUAUCUAAAGUGAUGGGAGGUCGCAGGGGGCAAUAUUAAUUUGAUGCCCCCAUUGCGCAGAUCACACCCAUUAGUGUCGGGUUAAGCCAUGUAAAGCGGCUAAACCCGACUAAACUAAUAGGCGCGAUCAGGAAAAGUUUCGUUUGGGCGUCCAAAUGGAUCACUUAAUACAGAUUUCAGCUCGUCACCCCCGGCGGGUGCAAGCUAAAAUGUUGACGCCGGCAGCCGAUCAGACCCGAACAGAGCUAUAGUAUAUUUGAAUAUCUCCACUGGGUGCCAUCUAGUGGCUGCCGGUGUCAAUAUGAUUUGAAUCUCGCCCAAUGUGUUCCUUCUCAUGAUCUAAUAGAUGUUGCUAAGAAAAAAAAAUUUUGUAAAAUAAGCAUUACCCGCUAUAUAAUACACAAUGUGACAACAAGCAGGAAGGAGUUGGGUGGAUUCAAGUGACAGUUCAGAGAGCCAUAUUCAGCCCCAGGGCUGCUUGUUAUCCUUACCCACAAGUGAUAUGCUGACAGACGGGUCUGCCGUACUAGCAAUAAUACAAAUGCCUCUGUACUAGACUCAGCCUAUCUUAAUCUGCCCUUUCCCUCCCUUGUUCUGCCUUUUCUGUAAUAAGGAGGUGCAGGUGGCAGAAUCAAACAAAUCAGUAUAUACUUGUAAGUGUAUGACUUCUUUUGUGCCUAUGGGGGUAAUUCAGAGUUGAU